Molecule: ribosomal RNA, 368 nt
Filed under: uncultured organism
Description: bacterial LSU rRNA
Rfam family: Bacterial large subunit ribosomal RNA
Source: RNAcentral
CUUGACUGUAGCUUGGAAUUGGGUUCGGGCUCUUCUUGCGCAGCCUAGGUGGGAGGCGUUGAAGGUUUCCUUCCGGGGAAGUUGGAGCCAUCAGUGAGAGACCACUCUGGAGAGGCUAGAAUCCUAAUGGUGAUCCUUGAAUCAGGACACUUGACAGUUUCAGGUGGGCAGUUUUUCUGGGGCGGAAGCCUCAUAAAGGGUAACUGAGGCGCGCAAAGGUCCCCUCAGUCUGGACGGAAAUCAGACAACGAGUGUAAAGGCAAAAGGGGGCUUGACUGCAAGACCUACAAGUCGAGCAGGAGCGAAAGCUGGCCUUAGUGAUCCGACGGUACCGUGUGGAAGGGCCGUCGCUCAACGAAUAAAAGUUA